Molecule: long non-coding RNA, 1782 nt
Filed under: Mus musculus (house mouse)
Lineage: Eukaryota; Metazoa; Chordata; Mammalia; Rodentia; Muridae
Description: low density lipoprotein receptor-related protein 8, apolipoprotein e receptor, opposite strand 3 (Lrp8os3)
Source: RNAcentral
GUGUGCGCGCAGGUGCUAAGAGCUGUAGACGCUAGGACGAGCCCGGCUAGGCUCUGGCCCCCCUGGUUUCCCCGUGGAGGUGGCAAGAGGGUGAGAGAAGGAGGCGUAUGGAGGAGAGCCCGAGCUCGGGAGAAGGAGACUCACAAGCCGUUGCAGUGAACGCGCAGAGCGCGGGAAGGCUGAAAGCAUUGCCAGGGAGAAUCUAGGGGUGCUGGGCAAGACCUGUCAUAGCUUCAGAUUAGAUGAGUCGCUUUCUGCGACCGUGUGCAUCUGUGAUUAUCACUGUGUGAUCCUGAGAGAGGUCCCAGGAAUCUAACGCAGGCUGUCAGGCUUGGCAGCAGGUACCCUUACCGACGUCAUCACAGGCAAAGAAACAGGCAGCCUGGCUGAGUUCAUUUCUAUCUGCUUUUGAUUGCGGACAGAGGCUUCGAGUUCCAGCCUUGACUUCCCACCAUGGUGACUGUAAUGUGAAAUGUACACAUUUUUCCUCUUUUCUGAGUCGAUUUGGCUUAGAGUGUUUUACCAUAGCAACAGAAAUGAAUCCAAAACCACGGCAUUGACUGCGUCCGCAUGGCUGUGAAACCAUCACCAUCAUCCACACCCAUCUAAUGGUAGCUUGCAUCCCCACCCCAACUCCUGGCAAUCAUCACCCCCUCCCCCAACCCACCCGCAUUUCCUGUCUCAGUCAAUUCAACUGUUGGAGGAAGUAGAUUAUUGUUCCUUUGGAGACUGAGGGCUUCACUAUGUCUUCAAGGUUCUUCUGUGCCACUGAAUGCUCCAGGAGUCCAUCCAUUGUAAAGACACAGACUAUUCCGUAUGUAUUCCACAUUCGUAUAACGGUGUGACCCUAUCACUGGUUCUAUUGUGUCCAUUGCCCGUGCUGCUGCAGUGAACACACGCGCACACACACACCUGCUUUCGGUUAUUUGGGAUAUGUCCAGACUCGGACUUGUUGGACUGUGAUGUGACUGUCAUUUUAAUUUUUGAGGAGUCACUGGGCUAUUUCCACCACAAACACUUCCAUUUCACAUUUACAAUUCUCCCCAUACCAGUCAAAAGUUGCUAGUUUAUGGAUUUUGUUAUUUGAUUUGUUGAGUUUUGAAAAUAUAAUAGCUAGCCUAAUGAAUGUGAGGUUGUUUUUUAAAUUGUGGUUUGAAUUUGCAUUGCUAAUGAUCAGUGAUAAUGAGCAUAUUUUCAUAUGCUUUAUUGCCCAUUUGUUUAUCUUGUUGGACAAAUGUCUAUUCAAGCCCUUUGCCUAAUUUUAAAUCAAGAGGGGGUAGUGUUGUAGUUGCUAUGAUUAAGUUACAGGACUUCCUGGAUUUCUUAUAAAGAUUUAUUGUAGUGUGUGUGUGUGUGUGUGUGUGUGUGUGUGUGUGCGCGCGCCCAUGAGAGUGCACAUGGCCUUGGAAGGCAGAAGAGGGCAUUGGAUCCACUGGAACUGGAGUUACAGGCAGUCCUGAGCUGCCUGACAUUUGUGCCAGAAAUUGAAUUCAGGUUGUUUGCUAGUGUGGUCAGUACAUGUUCUCACCCACUGAGCCACCUUUCCAGCCCCAGGUCAUCUAGUUCUCCUGUCAGUGCCUCAUCAGACGUACACUUGCAAAUGGCUUCCCGUUGAUUCUGUAGCUGGCCUUUUCCCUCUGCUGACGUUCCUUUGCUAAACAUUUCUUUUGAAGUUUGCUGUCACCCAAUCUUUCUAUUUCUUGUUUGUUGCCGAUGCUUCCAUUAUUGCAUUUUGCCAGGCUUUUUUAUAGGGUAAUAAAAAAAUAAAGAACAUGCACAGUG